This 445-nucleotide ribosomal RNA is filed under the name uncultured soil bacterium. RNAcentral describes it as "bacterial SSU rRNA". It matches the Rfam family "Bacterial small subunit ribosomal RNA", at positions 26 to 518 of the family's 1533-position model. The record is from RNAcentral.
AGAGCGAACGCUGGCGGCAGGCCUAACACAUGCAAGUCGAACGGACUCUUCGGAGUUAGUGGCGGACGGGUGAGUAACACGUGGGAACGUGCCUUUAGGUUCGGAAUAGCUCCUGGAAACGGGUGGUAAUACCGAAUGUGCCCUUCGGGGGAAAGAUUUAUCGCCUUUAGAGCGGCCCGCGUCUGAUUAGCUUGUUGGUGAGGUAAUGGCUCACCAAGGCUACGAUCAGUAGCUGGUCUGAGAGGAUGACCAGCCACAUUGGGACUGAGACACGGCCCAAACUCCUACGGGAGCAGCAGUGGGGAAUCUUGCGCAAUGGGCGAAAGCCCGAGCAAGCCAUGCCGCGUGUAUGAUGAAGGUCUUAGGAUUGUAAAAUACUUUCACCGGUGAAGAUAAAUGACUGUAGCCGAAGAAGACGCCCCGGAUAACUCGUGCCAGCAGCCGC